This 262-nucleotide long non-coding RNA is filed under the name Salmo salar (Atlantic salmon). Its description in RNAcentral is "lncRNA (ENSSSAG00000082170.1)". Lineage: Eukaryota; Metazoa; Chordata; Actinopteri; Salmoniformes; Salmonidae. The record is from RNAcentral.
AGAUAUGUAUAGGGGGAAGGAGACAGGGAUACUGGAGUGAUGGAGGUAGAUAUGUAUAGGGGACAGGGAUACUGGAGUGAUGGAGGUAGAUAUGUAUAGGGGUAAGGGGACAGGGAUACUGGAGUGAUGGAGGUAGAUAUGUAUAGGGGGAAGGAGACAGGGAUACUGGAGUGAUGGAGGUAGAUAUGUAUAGGGGAAGGAGACAGGGAUACUGGAGUGAUGGAGGUAGAUAUGUAUAGGGGACAGGGAUACUGGAGUGAUG